Molecule: long non-coding RNA, 754 nt
Filed under: Salmo salar (Atlantic salmon)
Lineage: Eukaryota; Metazoa; Chordata; Actinopteri; Salmoniformes; Salmonidae
Description: lncRNA (ENSSSAG00000121981.1)
Source: RNAcentral
CAAUCUCCUGAAGACACAUUUGAACUUGAAAUCUAUCUGAUGAAACCCCAAAGUCAUGGGUUUCCUGUACUACUCUGCACUGGCAAACCUGUGGUCUCGAUAGACAAUGGGUAAAUGUCAGUGUUUCAAAGGGAGAUCACACAGCUUGUGUUGUACAGGAGCGGAGGCCUAGAUACAGCCAUCAUUAGUCAGCUGUGGUUUUCUGCCAUAACACAGCAAGGCCCUCACUGCAAGUCUCUCUCACGUUACGACAUGGCCACUGAAUGCUGGCACAUGACAACUUCACCCUGACGCAGGGCUUUCUUAUCAGCCUGUUCAAGAGGGUGACAGACCUCAUGAGAAAGCUGGAUAUCGAAAUGAAGAGUAAGAGAUGAUAUUGAAGAGGAAAAAGAAGGCCAAAGGCACCUGUGUCUUGUGUCAGAGUGACCUCUUGGGCAGAGGUCAGGGAAGGGAGGGACAGUGUGAGUUCAGAUUCCAGCCUAGGGCAGAGGGAGCUGUCAGCUAAGAGAGAGGCAGGAGAGCCCCUUGUACUGAGCCUACUGAUGGAGAGAAGAGAGACAAGGAUUAGGGGAGGCCCCUCGAAACCUGCCCGACACAGGACCAACAGUGAAAGGAUGUCGGUGGGCGGAGCCGGGAGAGUCGUCAGUGAAAUGGGACACACCUGGGCUCGGGUGUGUCCCAGGAUAAAUGCACCACUUCCCCAUUCAUUGGGGAGACUCUCUCCAUGCAGACACAGACAGAUUUUGGUUGUGGC